This 240-nucleotide unclassified non-coding RNA is filed under the name soil metagenome. Its description in RNAcentral is "partial contains 5.8S ribosomal RNA, internal transcribed spacer 2, and large subunit ribosomal RNA". The record is from RNAcentral.
AACGCACGAGACCUGCGGACCUGCGGAAGGAUCAUUAUUGAAUAAACCUGGUUGAGUUGUUGCUGGCUUUCAGGAGCAAUGUGCACGCUCACACCAUCUUUUAACCACCUGUGCACCUCGUGUAGAUCUCUGAGGGGUUACUUGAGAAUCACCAUUCUCGUAUCCAUUCAAGGUCUAUGUUUUUUAUUAUACCCUAUACAAAUGUAAUAGAACGGUUGAAUGGGGCCUCCGUGCCUUUAA